RNAcentral lists this long non-coding RNA (10010 nucleotides) under Zea mays. RNAcentral describes it as "long non-coding RNA (ZMAY_LNC004404)". Lineage: Eukaryota; Viridiplantae; Streptophyta; Magnoliopsida; Poales; Poaceae. The record is from RNAcentral.
UUCCCCUUGGCCGCCGCCCCCCCCUGUCCACCUCCUCCUCCCUCCAUUGUUGCAGCCACCAAAACCCUAGCCGCCCCCCCCCAAUCCCCUCCUCCCUAGGUGCUACUCCGUGCCGCUCGGAUCAUCGUCUUUUGGUGCGAAUCUCCAAUCAUUUUGGUGGAAGGAAGAAGGGAGGAAGGAAAAGGGGAGAACCCAAGGUGAUUUUUCUUUUGUGUUCAUCCCUUGUUCAUUUGCGCUGCGAUUCAAUGGAUUAGAUGUUGCGUUUGCGAUUAGAUAGAGGGGGGCUGUCCAGAAUUUUGCGUGGUGGAUGAACAGCGGUAGUUCCAGCAGUUUUUAGUUUUUUUCGUGAAGAUUUAAUGGGGAUCAAUUUGGGAAUCUUGUAGAACUUUGUUUUAUCUUUCCAACGAGUAUUUAUGCGCUCAAUUUGGAGUUAUAAAUUAAAAGUUAUCAUCGUUUGAAUCCGGGUAUGUGGCUGUCCAGAAAACAGAUUUUUCAGAGUGAUGAACAGCAGCAGUGUUAGCAGUUUCUGGGGAUUUUUCGGGAGCAAUUAGUGUUAAUCAGUAUGGGAAUCUUGUAGAACUUUGUUUUAUCUUUCCAACGAGUAUUUAUGCGCUCAAUUUGGAGUUAUAAAUUAAAAGUUAUCAUCGUUUGAAUCCGGGUAUGUGGCUGUCCAGAAAACAGAUUUUUCAGAGUGAUGAACAGCAGCAGUGUUAGCAGUUUCUGGGGAUGUUUCGGGAGUAAUUAGUGUUAAUCAGUAUGAGAAUCAUGUAGGGCUUUUUCUUAUCUUUCCAACAAGUACUUAUGCGCUCAAAUCGAAAUUAUAUUUUAAAAGUUAUCGCUGUUUGAAUCCGCGUAUGUCGCUGCUCAAAUCAGAAAAAAACAGAUUGCAGGGUUUAUUUUGAGGACCGUUUAGAGGUAAGUAGAUGUUAGAAUUCAAUCAUGAGUUGUAUACAAAACUUGUGGGGAAUUUUAUGUAGUUGUCUCUGAAGUUUUUGUUUAUCAUCACUGCUGUCCUAAAUUUUAAGUUAUGGAAUUGUUAAGCAGCGCCGCUGCAGUUUGGUUAGUGAGGGGAGAAUUGUUACCGUGGCGGGGUUUGAGAUUGCGCGUAGGUGCGGUGUUGUCUUUGAGUUUUUUUUCAUGAGAAUUUGGUGCACUAAGUUGGGUGUCAAAAACAGGUGGUGGACUUCCGGAUCGUUCUUAGGGAUUUUGCCCGAACUUCGGUAAAGGCAAGUAAAACAGUGAUGGUUAUUUCGUCUUUUGAUUGAAGAGUCUCAUACUUGAUUAUGUUUGUGCUACUUGUGUUCAUAUCCAUAUUCCUAAUUGGGUACCAUCGUUUGAAAUUAUUCAUGCUCUGUUGAUUAUACAUGUGGAGGGUGUGGUUUGAUCAUGUUACCCAUGUGGUUAUUGAUGUGAAAUGGGUGGAGGUAUAUGUCUAGCACAUCUUAUUUGGGAAGAACUCAUGUUGUUGACAUGCAUAAUGCAUUCAUCAUCCAUUGCAUUGAAGUUUUCGUCGCGAUCUUAUGGUCCGACCGUACCGGUACAAUGAGCAUCAUAUGUUUUCCCGAGAAGGGGUAUGAUGCAGCUUCAUAUCCUUAGAGGUAUGAAGGCAGAAGUCAUGUUGCAUCUGUAGCCAUGUGCAUUCAUGGGUGAAGUGUGGAACCUAUUUUGGUGAUGUGGAUAAGGUGGAUCUUUACUUUGUAAUUCUUCUUGGCAUUGAGUAAUUGAGUAUUUGCUUACUUGCUGCAAAUUAAUAUUUAAGGAAGAAGUUGGGAACCAUGUGGUUGCUUAUGCACGGUUGGCUUGCAUUGUCCAACUGUUGUUUGUUUUUUUACUUGCUGAGAUGUGUCAUCUCACUCUUGCAUUGUCUGAUGCAGGCACCUGAUCUUUGCUUUGGGAGAAGGGAUGUAGCAGCACGGCCACCACACUUUUAAAUAAAGGAAUAACUGAUUAUUAAUGAUGUUAAACAGGAAGGGUCAAGUCUAGGGAAUUAUUACAUUCUAAUCUUUCAUGGUAGUUGAACUGUUUAGUUUGGUGGGCUGAGAUGACUAUCUUUUGUCUGGUCAUGAAUGUUCUUUUCUACCGUUGCAUUUCGAUUAUACUAUGUCAAUUAUCUUUCUUUUAUAUCCUGUAUAAACUAUAUGCUUUCCUUGUUAUGCUACUUUCAAGGGAGGUGCUGCCGGAUUUUGCAAUACUUUCUUUCUCUAUGUGUUGCAUAAGUUUUGUAGAAAGGUUUCUUUUGGUAUCAUCCAUUGUGUGGGAUCAGUGGGGUGUUACAGUUGGUAUCAGAGGUUAGGCUGUAGGUCCUAGCAAGUGGAGUAGUAAUAAAUUGACACACUGCACAUGUAGGAUGGGUUUUCGGUCUUGCUAUUGAUAUGAUUAUGUUAUUCUCUGUGCUAGUUUUGACAUUAUCUAGAGAGAUGCUAUGCUUAUCUCACAUACUUAUUAUUCUCAUCCCUGUGGAUACAGCUAUGCCGCCUCGUAGAGCUCGGGCUAGUCCGCAAGCUCCUAGUGGGGACUCGAUGAGUCCGGCGGCAAUGUUAGCCGCGAUGCAGGCCAUGCAGCAGGAGUUGGCCCUACUGAGGCAAGCCAUUUCUGUAGCCCCUGCUGGUGCUGCUCAGGGAGCUGGAGGUGGAGAAGUGCCCGGGGGCGCUGUCCCUGCGGGUGCUGUUCCUGGUGGCGGGGCCGGGGUGCCUCUUCCAGUCAGUGGUCUUUCUCUGAUGCAGUGGAUGGGCAUGAAGAUGGAUUCUUUUGAUGGCAGUGGUACUCCGGUCGAGGCGGCAGAUUGGCUGACUUAUGUGGAAGAUAAGAUGAAUGUCUUCGAGAUUGCUUAUGAAGAUCGGGUUCGCUUUGGCACUCAGCUGCUGAAGGGUGAGGCGCAGAUUUGGUGGAGAGGCGUGCAGGCAGCGCACUCCUCCUCACCAGGAGUCCUAUCAUGGGAUGUUUUCAUCAGGCAGUUCGAAAGGAGAUUCUACCCGGUCACCUUUCUGGAGAAAAUGAAGAUUGACUUGCAGUCCUUCAAGCAGGAGAAGAAGUCUGUCACAGAGUAUGAGGUGGGCUUCAACAAAAUGGUCCACUUUGUCCCUCAUGUGGCUUAUAAUGAGAUGGAGAAGGCGAGCCAAUUCCGUCAGGGUCUGAAGCCUUCUAUCAGGCAUGCUCUGGGGGCCUUUCCGUUGGUGGACUUCCGUACCACAGUGGAGCAGGCGCUGGGUGUGGAGAUGCAACACCAGUACACCAUGGAGUCGCAGAAGUCUUCGGGUGUUGAUCAACCUCGUAGCCAGGACACGAGGAGGGGCAACACUGGAGGUCCAGCUCACAAGAGGGGCAAGUCUCAGCAUCAGCGCCACCAUCCUUACCGUGGCAAAUCUUCUGACUCAGGUACUUCAGGAGGAAGUACUCAGAGGUUUCGGGCCGUUCCUAAGCCCGGGUUGGGGCUGGUGUGUUUCCGCUGUGGAGAUGCGCAUCGCCGUGCAGAGUGUCAGUGGAGUGGCAGGUGUUCUAUCUGCAGUCAGGACCACAAGGAUGUGGUGUGUAGGAGGAAUCCCAGUGGGAAGCUCAGAUGGGAGCCGAUAGCUUCCUCCUCUUCUCAGGGCACUAUCAAUAUGAUGUCAAGUGCUGAGCAGCAGUUUUCAGUUCCUCUUCCUCCACAGCAGCUUUAUGUGCCCGGGACUUCUCAGUUCGUGCCGAUGCAAGGUUUUCCGCAGUAUCAGGUUGUGCCUACUCCUGCGCUGUCUACCCCUGUGCUGUCUCAGUUUGGAGCUCCGCGCCAGCCUCCUCCGGUGGCUCAGUGGGGUUCUUCUGUUAAUUUCACUCCGGGAGCUUCCUCUUCUGCGGGUAUUUCUGGAGCUUAUGUGCUACCCGCUACGGAUGGCAGGGAGCAAGGAGACGUGGUGACAGGUACGAUUUCAGUUGAUUCAUUUGCAGCCCAUGCUCUUUUUGACUCUGGCGCUAGCUAUUCGUUUGUUUCGGAGGAUUUUGUGUCGCGGGCUGGUCUUUCGGUGCAGAGGUUGGGUCACCCAAUUUUGGUCAGUUCUGCUAAUGGCUCCAUUAGUAGCUGUUCAGUUUGUCAGGGGUGUUCCGUCAUUCUUGCUGAUGAGGUUUUUUCGGCUAAUCUGGUGGUGAUUCCCUUGGGGGCAUUCGAGGUUAUCUUGGGUAUGGAUUGGUUAUCCCAGUAUCGCGCGGUUAUAUCCUGUUUCUGGAAGACAGUGUUAUUGCAGGCGCCGUCGGGUAAGGAGGUGGUAUUCUUGGGAAGUUCUCCGAAGUUCACAUUAUCCUUGUUGGCGCAAUUGCUUCCUGAUCGCUGGUCAAGGAAGUCGGGGAUCUUUUUCUCUAUGGUGGUGGAGGGCGAGGCUGCCUUGCGGGUGCAGGACAUCCGGGUGGUGUGUGACUUUGCUGACGUGUUUCCAGCAGAGCUUCCAGGCAUUCCUCCGGAGCGCGAUGCAGCUUUUGAGAUUAAGCUGAUCCCGGGUACGCAGCCUAUUCAUAAGGCCCCGUAUCGAAUGGCUCCAAAGGAGCAGAUUGAAUUAAAGCGGCAAUUGGAUGAUCUGCUGGCUAAGGGCUUCAUUAGGCCUAGCAGGUCUCCAUGGGCUUCCCCAGUAUUGUUUGUUGAGAAGAAGGAUAAAAGCAAGCGGCUGUGUGUGGAUUAUCGCGCUUUGAAUCAAAUGACAAUCAAGAAUAAAUAUCCGCUUCCCCGAAUUGAGGUCCUCUUUGAGCAGUUGAGGGGUGCCCAGGUGUUCUCCAAAAUUGAUUUGAACUCUGGUUAUCAUCAAUUGAGGAUUCGUGAGGAGGAUAUUGAGAAGACUGCCUUCUGCACCAGGUAUGGGCAUUAUGAGUUCAUAGUCAUGUCCUUUGGCUUAACUAAUGCCCCUGCUGCGUUUAUGGAAGCAAUGAAUAGGAUGCUGCAUGAAUUCUUGGACGAUUUUGUGGUCGUAUUCCUAGAUGAUAUUUUGAUUUAUUCAAGGACCGAGGCCGAGCAUGAUCAGCAUCUCCGUCUUGUUCUAGGUGCCCUAAGGAAGAAUCAAUUCUUUGGCAAGUUGAAGAAGUGUGCCUUUUGGCUAUCUGAAGUGGCUUUCCUGGGGCACGUGAUUAAUCAGCAGGGUAUUGCGGUUGACCCCAAGAAUGUUGCGGCUGUAGUGGAGUGGAAGAGACCUUCUAGUGUCUCUGAAAUCCGAAGUUUCUUGGGCCUUGCUGGGUAUUAUCGGCGUUUCGUACCAAAUUUUUCCAGCAUUGCUAAGCCUUUGACUAGGCUCUUGGGGAAGGGUGUUCCCUUCGUCUGGUCCGGCGAUUGUGAGAUCAGUUACCAGUCAUUGAAGAGCAAGUUGGUGGACGCCCCUAUCCUAGCUUUGCCUGAGAGCGGUAAGCGUUUCACAGUUUAUACGGAUGCUUCGCGUAUUGGUCUUGGCUGUGUGCUGAUGCAGGAAGGCAGGGUGAUUGCUUAUGGCUCAAGGCAGUUGAGGAAGCAUGAGGGAAAUUAUCCAACUCAUGAUUUGGAAUUGGCUGCGGUGGUUUUUGCUCUAAAGUCGUGGAGGCAUUACCUUUAUGGCGAGGCUUGUGACAUUUUCACUGAUCACAAAAGUCUCAAGUAUAUUUUUACUCAGAAGGAGCUGAAUUUGAGGCAGCGUCGGUGGCUAGAAUUGAUUAAAGAUUAUGAUUUGUCCAUUCAUUAUCACCCGGGGAAGGCUAAUGUGGUGGCGGAUGCCCUUAGCAGGUCCGGGGUUCCAAAGGUGGCCUUGCCGUUGAUCGCUGAUCUAGACCGUUUGGGGAUCGCUUUGUGUCAUGUCGGCACCGCUAGCAAGGAGACUCAGAUGCUUAUUCAAUCCUCUCUUAUGGAGAGAGUGCGUGCGGCUCAGCAGCAGGAUCGUCUUUUGCAGGAAGCCCGAAGGAGGGUUGGUGAUGGUAAACCGCGGGAGUUCACCAUUGAUGAGAAUGAUUUGGUUCGUUUCAGGGGCCGUCUUUGUGUGCCUCAGAAAUCAGAGGUGAAGCUGGAUAUCCUGCGAGAAGCUCAUAAAACGCCUUACACCGUCCAUCCUGGCGAAACCAAAAUGUACCGAGAUUUGAAGCAAAACUUCUGGUGGAAGCGGAUGAAGGUUGACAUUUCUAAGUAUGUGGCCGCCUGUGAAGUAUGUCAGCGCGUGAAGGCCGAACAUAAGCGGCCUGCAGGUUUGCUGAAGCCAUUGGAAAUUCCAGAGUGGAAAUGGGAGCAUAUCACCAUGGAUUUUGUGGUGGGUCUACCUCGUUCCCCUCGUGGCAGGGAUGCUAUUUGGGUGGUAGUGGAUCGCUUGACUAAGUCUGCGCAUUUUAUUCCCAUGAAGACCACGAAUUCAGCUUCAGAUUUGGUUCCCUUGUAUAUGAAGGAAGUAGUCAGGCUUCACGGGAUACCUAAGUCUAUUGUUUCUGAUCGAGACUCCAAAUUUGUAUCCAAAUUCUGGGAGAGUCUCCACAGUGCAUUGGGCACCAAGCUUUCGCUUAGUGUCGCUUUUCACCCUCAGACGGAUGGUCAGUCAGAGCGAACAAUCCAAACCUUGGAGGAUAUGUUGCGUGCUUGUGUUCUGUCAUGGAAGGGUAGCUGGGAGGAUCAUCUUGCUCUGGCAGAGUUUGCGUAUAACAACAGCUACCAAGCUAGCAUCAAGAUGGCACCAUUUGAGGCUUUGUAUGGCAGGCGGUGUAUCUCUCCUCUGUGCUGGGAGACUUUGGGAGAGAGAUCCCUGGUUGGUCCUGAUUGGGUUCAGCAAACUUCUGAAAAGGUUCGGGAAAUUCGUCAGAAUAUUUUGGCAGCUCAGAGUCGUCAGAAGAGUUAUGCUGAUGUGAGGAGGCGGGAUCUGGAAUUUGCUGUGGGUGACCAAGUCCUUCUCAGGGUAUCACCCACUAAGGGAGUUGUUCGGUUCGGUGUCUCUAGGAAGCUCAGCCCAAGAUACAUUGGACCGUUCACUAUCUUGGCCCGAGUGGGCAGCCUGGCUUAUCGCUUGCUGCUGCCGGAUUCCAUGGUAGGGGUACACCCGGUUUUUCAUGUCUCUAUGUUGAGGAAGUUCUUGCGGGAUCCGGACCAUCAGAUUGAGAUGGAACCAAUUGCGGUGCAGCAGGAUCUGACUCUGGAGUGUCGUCCGGUGCGUAUUUUGGAAUUCUCGGAGCGUGUGUUGAGGAAGAGAUCAAUUAAGUAUGUCAAGGUCUUAUGGUCUAAUCAGUCAGAGCGCGAGGCUACGUGGGAACUUGAGGAGUUGAUGCGGCAGAAGUACCCGGAACUUUUCGUUGUGGGUAAGUGUUGUUGAUUCGCUAAGCUUUUCUUGUGUCAUUCCGAUAGAAGCGUCAGAAUUCGAGGUCGAAUUCUUUUUAAGAGGGGUAGAAUGUGAUACCCGGUUUGCAAAGAAGAGAAGUUGGGGGUUGUUCUUUUUGUUUUUUCCCUCAUCCAGUUGUUGUUUUGGGGAUUUGGAAUUUUGUGAAUAACAUUCGCAACUAGGGCAGUAGAAUUUUUUUUGGUUUGACAUUUGCGUUGCGGUCGGGAGCUGUCGCGUGGGUUAGUUGGGCCGCAAUUGGUGUUUCGGCCCAUUAGCCCUCCCAAACCCUAGCCGCCACCCUCCUAUCUACUCCCCCCCAUGUGCUGCCGCCCCCCCCCCCCCCACUCCUCCUUUCCCCUUGGCCGCCGCCCCCCCUGUCCACCUCCUCCUCCCUCCAUUGUUGCAGCCACCAAAACCCUAGCCGCCCCCCCCCCCCCCCAAUCCCCUCCUCCCUAGGUGCUACUCCGUGCCGCUCGGAUCAUCGUCUUUUGGUGCGAAUCUCCAAUCAUUUUGGUGGAAGGAAGAAGGGAGGAAGGAAAAGGGGAGAACCCAAGGUGAUUUUUCUUUUGUGUUCAUCCCUUGUUCAUUUGCGCUGCGAUUCAAUGGAUUAGAUGUUGCGUUUGCGAUUAGAUAGAGGGGGGGCUGUCCAGAAUUUUGCGUGGUGGAUGAACAGCGGUAGUUCCAGCAGUUUUUAGUUUUUUUUCGUGAAGAUUUAAUGGGGAUCAAUUUGGGAAUCUUGUAGAACUUUGUUUUAUCUUUCCAACGAGUAUUUAUGUGCUCAAUUUGGAGUUAUAAAUUAAAAGUUAUCAUCGUUUGAAUCCGGGUAUGUGGCUGUCCAGAAAACAGAUUUUUCAGAGUGAUGAACAGCAGCAGUGUUAGCAGUUUCUGGGGAUUUUUCGGGAGCAAUUAGUGUUAAUCAGUAUGAGAAUCUUGUAGAACUUUGUUUUAUCUUUCCAACGAGUAUUUAUGCGCUCAAUUUGGAGUUAUAAAUUAAAAGUUAUCAUCGUUUGAAUCCGGGUAUGUGGCUGUCCAGAAAACAGAUUUUUCAGAGUGAUGAACAGCAGCAGUGUUAGCAGUUUCUGGGGAUGUUUCGGGAGUAAUUAGUGUUAAUCAGUAUGAGAAUCAUGUAGGGCUUUUUCUUAUCUUUCCAACAAGUACUUAUGCGCUCAAAUCGGAAUUAUAUUUUAAAAGUUAUCGCUGUUUGAAUCCGCGUAUGUCGCUGCUCAAAUCAGAAAAAAACAGAUUGCAGGGUUUAUUUUGAGGACCGUUUAGAGGUAAGUAGAUGUUAGAAUUCAAUCAUGAGUUGUAUACAAAACUUGUGGGGAAUUUUAUGUAGUUGUCUCUGAAGUUUUUGUUUAUCAUCACUGCUGUCCUAAAUUUUAAGUUAUGGAAUUGUUAAGCAGCGCGCUGCAGUUUGGUUAGUGAGGGGAGAAUUGUUACCGUGGCGGGGUUUGAGAUUGCGCGUAGGUGCGGUGUUGUCUUUGAGUUUUUUUUCAUGAGAAUUUGGCGCACUAAGUUGGGUGUCAAAAACAGGUGGUGGACUUCUGGAUCGUUCUUAGGGAUUUUGCCCGAACUUCGGUAAAGGCAAGUAAAACAGUGAUGGUUAUUUCGUCUUUUGAUUGAAGAGUCUCAUACUUGAUUAUGUUUGUGCUACUUGUGUUCAUAUCCAUAUUCCUAAUUGGGUACCAUCGUUUGAAAUUAUUCAUGCUCUGUUGAUUAUACAUGUGGAGGGUGUGGUUUGAUCAUGUUACCCAUGUGGUUAUUGAUGUGAAAUGGGUGGAGGUAUAUGUCUAGCACAUCUUAUUUGGGAAGAACUCAUGUUGUUGACAUGCAUAAUGCAUUCAUCAUCCAUUGCAUUGAAGUUUUCGUCGCGAUCUUAUGGUCCGACCGUACCGGUACAAUGAGCAUCAUAUGUUUUCCCGAGAAGGGGUAUGAUGCAGCUUCAUAUCCUUAGAGGUAUGAAGGCAGAAGUCAUGUUGCAUCUGUAGCCAUGUGCAUUCAUGGGUGAAGUGUGGAACCUAUUUUGGUGAUGUGGAUAAGGUGGAUCUUUACUUUGUAAUUCUUCUUGGCAUUGAGUAAUUGAGUAUUUGCUUACUUGCUGCAAAUUAAUAUUUAAGGAAGAAGUUGGGAACCAUGUGGUUGCUUAUGCACGGUUGGCUUGCAUUGUCCAACUGUUGUUUGUUUUUUUUACUUGCUGAGAUGUGUCAUCUCACUCUUGCAUUGUCUGAUGCAGGCACCUGAUCUUUGCUUUGGGAGAAGGGAUGUAGCAGCACGGCCACCACACUUUUAAAUAAAGGAAUAACUGAUUAUUAAUGAUGUUAAACAGGAAGGGUCAAGUCUAGGGAAUUAUUACAUUCUAAUCUUUCAUGGUAGUUGAACUGUUUAGUUUGGUGGGCUGAGAUGACUAUCUUUUGUCUGGUCAUGAAUGUUCUUUUCUACCGUUGCAUUUCGAUUAUACUAUGUCAAUUAUCUUUCUUUUAUAUCCUGUAUAAACUAUAUGCUUUCCUUGUUAUGCUACUUUCAAGGGAGGUGCUGCCGGAUUUUGCAAUACUUUCUUUCUCUAUGUGUUGCAUAAGUUUUGUAGAAAGGUUUCUUUUGGUAUCAUCCAUUGUGUGGGAUCAGUGGGGUGUUACAAGUAUCUUCAACAUUAGCAGGCACAUCAAUUUUUUCCGCUGAAGCCGAGGGCGGGGUCUUUUGGAUGGCUUGCAUCACGUCCAUCAUUCAUCGUUUCUUCUGACCCUC